AAGAGAGUCGUCAGGAGACGUUAAGACAAAAUUUCAACUUUUUCGAUUUUAUCCCUGGAGAAACCCUCGAAACUCAGUUGCAGCGAUUUACUACACUCACUACUAAGAUGAAUAUAGCCGGGAUCUUCUUGACUAAGUCCGAGAUAAACAAAAAGCUGCUAAAUUCACUUCCGAAAUCGUGGGAUAUGAACGUGGCCAUCAUCAAGAAGACAAAAGAUCUCAAUCAUCUUAGUCUUGCUGAUGUUAUUCAAGAACUUGAUGCUUUGAAGUGUAGAGAAACAAUGAGUUCUGAAAACAUUCUGGUCACUGAAGUUACAUGUACUCCAGCUUGUGAAGCCACGAUUAAAUUUCUUCGGGAACAAAUCGAUUUAUUUAAAAGAGAAGUUGAGGACCUGAGAUAUGAAGGAUAUGAACUCAGGAAAGGACAGAANAGUGAAGAUACGAUUAAAUUUCUUCGGGAACAAAUUGAUUUAUUUAAAAGAGAAGUUGAGGACCUGAGAUAUGAAGGAUAUCAACUCAGGAAAGGACAGAAACCCCUGAAGGCUGAGUUAGAAGCAAAAACCAAGGACUUUAGGAAACUUCAGGAAGAGUAUAGCAACAAGUGUGAAAAUUAUGAUUAUGUUAAGAGUCAACUUGUUGCUGUAACUGAAGAACUUGACGCUUUAAAAAUUAAGUGUGGAAAAACUGAUGUCAGUUUCAAAAAUUAUACUGCGUCAAGUCAGACAGUCGAGUCCUUAUAUGAAACCC
This 747-nucleotide long non-coding RNA is filed under the name Lactuca sativa (garden lettuce). RNAcentral's name for it is "long non-coding RNA (LSAT_LNC005682)". Lineage: Eukaryota; Viridiplantae; Streptophyta; Magnoliopsida; Asterales; Asteraceae. The record is from RNAcentral.